AAUCAACGCUGGCGGCGUGCCUCAGACAUGCAAGUCGAACGCGAAAGUCCCUUCGGGGAUGAUUAGAGUGGCGCACGGGUGAGUAACACGUAGGUAAUCUACCUUCGGAGUGGGGAACGUAACUACAGGGGAAACUUAGAGCUAAUACCGCAUAAUGCAGCGGGCACCACAUGGUGACAGUUGUUAAAGCAUUUAUGCGCUUGAAGAGGGGCCG
This 214-nucleotide ribosomal RNA is filed under the name uncultured bacterium. RNAcentral's name for it is "partial 16S ribosomal RNA". It matches the Rfam family "Bacterial small subunit ribosomal RNA", at positions 32 to 232 of the family's 1533-position model. The record is from RNAcentral.